UCCGAGUAAUCUCCUCUUGAAAAGUUAUAUCUGCCUUUUCCUUCACCUUAAACAGAGCAAUUGUACUACUUGGAGGCAACCAUCAUGUCUCUGCAUAGUCCAAGAACAAUUGUACCCAUAGACUUGAAGAAGCGGCCAUGGGAACAGAAACUACCACUUCACAACCGGUGGCACCCAGAUAUACCUCCGGUUGCAGAGGUUAGAGCAGGAGAGGUUUUCAGAGUAGAGAUGAUGGACUUUUCUGGCGCGGAGAUUACACAGGAAAACUCUGCCGAAGACAUUAAACAUGUCAAUCCCUCAAUUGCAUACUCUUUGCCCCACUCUACUGGUUCGCCCAUGGCUCCUCCAACUCCAAGAGUCGUGGUACCAAUAGACCUGAAGAAGAAACCAUGGGAACAGAAAGUCCCUCUUCACAAUCGUUGGCAUCCUGGCAUACCAUCGGUUGCAGAGGCGAAGACUGGAGAGGUUUUCAGAAUAGAGAUGGUAGACUGGACAGGAGGAGCUAUAAAAGACGAUGAAUCUGCAAAUGAUAUAAAAUUCAUGGACCUCUCUACUAUCCAUUACCUCAGCGGGCCAAUUAAAGUUAUGGAUGCAGACGGGAUUCCAGCAAAGCCUGGAGACCUUCUUCUUGUUGAAAUCUGCAACUUGGGUCCUCUCCCCGGGGAUGAAUGGGGUUAUACUGCAACAUUUGAUAGAGAAAACGGCGGUGGCUUUCUGACUGAUCAUUUUCCUUGUGCAACCAAAGCCAUCUGGUAUUUUGAAGGAAUAUAUGCUUACUCUCCUCAAAUACCAGGUGUACGUUUUCCUGGGUUAACUCACCCUGGAAUAAUUGGAACUGCACCUUCAAUGGAACUCCUUCAUAUAUGGAAUAAAAGGGAACGAGAACUUGAAGAAACUGGGGCUCAAACUCUUAAACUGUGCGAAGUUUUGCAUUCCCGGCCAUUGGCAAACCUACCAUCAGCUGAUGGUUGCCUUCUUGGAAAGAUUCAAGAGGGGACAGCUGAAUGGGCAAAAAUUGCUAAUGAGGCUGCAAGGACAGUUCCUGGAAGAGAAAAUGGAGGGAACUGUGACAUAAAAAACCUCAGCAGAGGAUCAAAAAUAUACCUUCCAGUAUUUGUAGAUGGAGCAAAUUUUAGCACUGGGGACAUGCACUUCUCUCAAGGUGAUGGUGAAGUCUCAUUCUGCGGGGCAAUUGAGAUGAGUGGUUUUCUAGAACUCAAGUGUGAAAUCAUUAGAAAUGGAAUGAAAGAGUACCUCACACCGAUGGGGCCAACUCCCUUGCAUGUAAACCCAAUAUUCGAGAUAGGCCCGGUUGAGCCAAGAUUCUCAGAGUGGUUAGUAUUCGAGGGCAUCAGUGUUGAUGAAAGUGGAAAGCAGCACUACCUUGAUGCAAGUGUCGCUUACAAGCGUGCCGUGCUCAAUGCAAUUGACUAUCUCUCCAGAUUUGGGUACUCAAAGGAACAGAUCUAUCUUCUGCUGUCAUGUUGCCCUUGCGAAGGAAGGAUUUCAGGAAUAGUUGAUUGUCCUAAUGCUGUUGCCACCCUCGCAAUCCCAACAGCCAUCUUUGAUCAGGUCAUCAGGCAUAUCAAGAUUAUUUCCAAGAUAGGUAGAAUAACCAAGGUGGAUCAUUAACUUUUCACAUUUCUAAACCAUUUCCAAUCAAUGCCCGAGGUACACCACUACUGGCAAAAGCAAUGUAAUCAUUCAAGGAUGUUCGUCCAAAAACCAAGAAAGUGCCAGCUGGGCCACGGCUGCUGAAGAGUCCAGAUGUCUUUAAAUGCACUUAUGAUGGUGAUUUGCCCACCACAAAGAACCUUUGCACAAGUAUUUAAUGACUGCCAAUUGGAGGGUUUAUGCUAACCCUUAAGGUAUGCUGAGACAAAUUCAAAUGUGGCUGGAGAAGCUUCCUUUAUGCUAAGUACUGGAGACAAAUUAUACCA
This is an RNA transcript of Diospyros lotus (date-plum), 1940 nucleotides long. RefSeq lists it as uncharacterized. The transcript is spliced from 9 exons. NCBI's taxonomy places the organism in Eukaryota, Viridiplantae, Streptophyta, Magnoliopsida, Ericales, Ebenaceae. The record is from RefSeq and is a predicted model, not a curated record.